This 497-nucleotide ribosomal RNA is filed under the name uncultured bacterium. RNAcentral describes it as "partial 16S ribosomal RNA". It matches the Rfam family "Bacterial small subunit ribosomal RNA", at positions 28 to 507 of the family's 1533-position model. The record is from RNAcentral.
GACGAACGCUGGCGGCGUGCCUAAUACAUGCAAGUUGAGCGAUGAAGAUUGGUGCUUGCACCAAUUUGAAGAGCAGCGAACGGGUGAGUAACGCGUGGGGAAUCUGCCUUUGAGCGGGGGACAACAUUUGGAAACGAAUGCUAAUACCGCAUAACAACUUUAAACAUAAGUUUUAAGUUUGAAAGAUGCAAUUGCAUCACUCAAAGAUGAUCCCGCGUUGUAUUAGCUAGUUGGUGAGGUAAAGGCUCACCAAGGCGAUGAUACAUAGCCGACCUGAGAGGGUGGUCGGCCACAUUGGGACUGUGACACGGCCCAAACUCCUACGGGAGGCAGCAGUAGUGAAUCGUCGGCAAUGGACGAAAGUCUGACCGAGCAACGCCGCGUGAGUGAAGAAGGUUUUCGGAUCGUAAAACUCGGUUGGUAGAGAAGAACGUUGGUGAGAGUGGAAAGCUCAUCAAGUGACGGUAACGACCCAGAAAGGGACGGCUAACUACGUG